RNAcentral lists this ribosomal RNA (499 nucleotides) under uncultured bacterium. RNAcentral describes it as "partial 16S ribosomal RNA". It matches the Rfam family "Bacterial small subunit ribosomal RNA", at positions 28 to 507 of the family's 1533-position model. The record is from RNAcentral.
GAUGAACGCUGGCGGCGUGCCUAAUACAUGCAAGUCGAGCGAACAGACGAGAGUGCUUGCACUCUCUGACGUUAGCGGCGGACGGGUGAGUAACACGUGGGUAACCUACCUAUAAGACUGGGAUAACUUCGGGAAACCGGAGCUCAUACCGGAUAAUAUUUAGCUUCGCAUGAAGCAAUAGUGAAAGACGGUUCUGCUGUCACUUAUAGAUGGACCCGCGGUGUAUUAGCUAGUUGGUGAGGUAACGGCUCACCAAGGCAACGAUACAUAGCCGACCUGAGAGGGUGAUCGGCCACACUGGGACUGAGACACGGCCCAGACUCCUACGGGAGGCAGCAGUAGGGAAUCUUCCGCAAUGGACGAAAGUCUGACGGAGCAAUGCCGCGUGAGUGAAGAAGGUUUUCGGAUCGUAAAACUCUGUUGUAAGGGAAGAACAAGUACGUUAGUAACUGAACGUACCUUGACGGUACCUUACCAGAAAGCCACGGCUAACUACGUG